RNAcentral lists this ribosomal RNA (484 nucleotides) under uncultured bacterium. Its description in RNAcentral is "partial 16S ribosomal RNA". It matches the Rfam family "Bacterial small subunit ribosomal RNA", at positions 30 to 507 of the family's 1533-position model. The record is from RNAcentral.
AUUGAACGCUGGCGGAAGGCCUAACACAUGCAAGUCGAGCGGAUGAAGGGAGCUUGCUCCUGGAUUCAGCGGCGGACGGGUGAGUAAUGCCUAGGAAUCUGCCUGGUAGUGGGGGAUAACGUCCGGAAACGGGCGCUAAUACCGCAUACGUCCUGAGGGAGAAAGUGGGGGAUCUUCGGACCUCACGCUAUCAGAUGAGCCUAGGUCGGAUUAGCUAGUUGGUGGGGUAAAGGCCUACCAAGGCGACGAUCCGUAACUGGUCUGAGAGGAUGAUCAGUCACACUGGAACUGAGACACGGUCAAGACUCCUACGGGAGGCAGCAGUGGGGAAUAUUGGACAAAGGGCGAAAGCCUGAUCCAGCCAUGCCGCGUGUGUGAAGAAGGUCUUCGGAUUGUAAAGAACUUUAAGUUGGGAGGAAGGGCAGUAAGUUAAUACCUUGCUGUUUUGACGGUACCAACAGAAUAAGCACCGGCUAACUUCGUG